GACUCAGUCAUAUGACUCUGGGAGCUGAUUUGAGGCAGAAGAAGCAGAGAUUAUACUCCUUACCACCCGGGAUAACUCUGCCGUACGCGAACCCACAGAUGCAAUGUGCGCCAACCAAAAACGCUUUUUUGCUGCAUGCACUGCCAUCGCGUAGGUCUUCAAAUGGGUUCUAUACGGCAUCCUGUCAGAUUCGAGCCGAGUUCUUCUCCACUUGCGUUCCAGUCGCCUACCAAGCCAUUUCAUCCCCCGCAACUCCUCCGUGUACCAGGGGGCCAUCUUAGCAGCAUGCCUGGAGGGACACUUAGGAGCAAUAAUAUCUACUGCCCUGCAAUUGAAUCUAAGCUCCAGGUGCCAUUAAAGAACAUCUAAGUGUAUUGACCUUAGCAAAUCCAGCAUCUUUGAUGCCAGGAAAGCAAUUUCUAUGAGAUGAACAGUUUCCAGCUCUUGAUAAGAGUUUCUUGCUCACAUGGAAGAUUCCACCGCGAAUCAGAGCUGACUUGAUCAAAUCUAGACAGAUGGCAGGUCUCGUUGCAGCCCCUUGAGCAGCUGCCUCUGCUGACAAAGAUGCUCUACGUCUCCUCAGCUGAAAGAACAAGAGAAGAGUUGGGGAGAGACUGUCAGUGAAGCUACCCACCAUAUUCCUGAAGAUCAAGUACAUGCAAGAUCAAUAAUGUAAAAAAAAGAAGAAGAAGAAGAAGAGGGGGGAGAGAAGAGAAAAGAAGAUCUCAGACCAAUUAUUUUUCUACAAAAUACUUUAUAUGACAACAGGGGCAGCUCCCAAAGGGCAGCGUGUAACAACUGAGCCUAAUUAGAAUGAUUUCAGUGUAAUCAUUAACUAGCAUCUAACACCUACGAGAGUAUUUCUGUUUAAACUAAAACAUGACCUGCAUGGUGGAGAGGCCUUGUAAACUGUCUACGAAAUAAAAAUGUGACAGUAAAGGUCAGAGCGACACUCAUUUGAAUUUCAAGCAGGAAGCAGACUCCACGGUUGGUGUGUAUAGCAAGAGUGGUGGCUCUUUUUCUGAGCUCUCCUUGCCAACAGUAGCAGUUGGAGAAAUCCUCCAGGACUAAUUACUGAGGCUGCAAAACAAGUAUUAUUCUUUUGUCUCUCUCCCCAAUUUGGUAAAAUGCUUGCAUCCUAAUUGCACCGUGUCAAAAGAUAUGGUUUUUAUUUGUUGCUGUUUCAGGAGUGAAGGUCAUGAAUGGGAAAAGCAAAGUGGCACCUUUCAACUCGCUCCAGCCACCUGCCGACAGCUUCCUUGGUGGUCCUUCUAAUCACAUCUCCUUGUCAGUAAAGGAGUAGAAGGUUGGCUAAUAAACUCUCCUCCCAGCAAGAGCGAUGCUAACACAUUGCCUUCCACUGAGCUGUGUAAAAGCAACCAUCAAAUCAGCAAGAUGCAACUUGAUUUGCAGGUCUCUGGUGAAAUUUAAGAAGAGAAAACUGUAAAACAUUCAGGGGGGAAAGAAGUGUGAAAACAGUUUGUUUGUUUUUAAGGCAAGGCAUUUAAAAAGCCAUACACAGAUAUCAGAAUAAAAAAAGUUGAUGGAGA
This is a long non-coding RNA of Hemicordylus capensis (graceful crag lizard), 1550 nucleotides long. RefSeq lists it as uncharacterized. The record is from RefSeq and is a predicted model, not a curated record. Lineage: Eukaryota; Metazoa; Chordata; Lepidosauria; Squamata; Cordylidae. The transcript has 4 exons.